AAUGAACGCUGGCGGCAUGCCUAACACAUGCAAGUCGAACGAAGCCUUCGGGCUUAGUGGCGCACGGGUGCGUAACGCGUGGGAAUCUGCCCUUGGGUUCGGAAUAACAGUGGGAAACUACUGCUAAUACCGAAUGAUGUCGUAAGACCAAAGAUUUAUCGCCCAGGGAUGAGCCCGCGUAGGAUUAGCUAGUUGGUGUGGUAAAAGCGCACCAAGGCGACGAUCCUUAGCGGUCUGAGAGGAUGAUCAGCCACACUGGGACUGAGACACGGCCCAGACUCCUACGGGAGGCAGCAGUGGGGAAUAUUGGACAAUGGGCGAAAGCCUGAUCCAGCAAUGCCGCGUGAGUGAUGAAGGCCUUAGGGUUGUAAAGCUCUUUUACCCGGGAUGAUAAUGACAGUACCGGGAGAAUAAGCUCCGGCUAACUCCGUGCCAGCCGCCGCUGUAAC
RNAcentral lists this ribosomal RNA (449 nucleotides) under uncultured bacterium. RNAcentral describes it as "bacterial SSU rRNA". It matches the Rfam family "Bacterial small subunit ribosomal RNA", at positions 29 to 524 of the family's 1533-position model. The record is from RNAcentral.